UAAGCCAUCUUGAUGGAUCUGCGAACCCUAAGCAGAUCGCCCUUUGCGCGCCGCUCUGCCAACCAGCGUUUGGAGGCUCCGGUUCCUCACAAAGGAUCGACCACCAGUACGGGGUACGGCGUCAAGGACGUGGCACAUACGGAGGCCAGCUGGGGCGAAGCACGCGCAUGGAGGUGCAGCACGCGCGGAAGAGGCCCUGGGUUCGACGGCGGCGUCACUAGUUGCUGAAAGCUAGGGUUUCGGUUCUGGGGAAUGCUUUGGGCUAGGUUGGGCCAGGGUUAGCUAAUUAGGUUUAGUGGGUUAGGUUCGUAUUGGGCUUGGGUAGAAAAUGAUUAGGCUUAGUGGGUUAAGUUACCAUUGUAAUUGGGUUAAAAUGAUUUUGUUUUGGUUUGGAUUUGUAAAAAAACUAGACAUUUAUUAUUGUUUAUUUUUAUAUUUUAUUUGGGUUUUAAUUUUGGGCUCGGGCCGGGCAAAAUUUGGGUGUUACAUUUAUUUUUUAUUGUUAUUCUUUUAUUUUUGGCUAUAAAAAGCCAAUUGUAACACUGAAAGGGGGAUCUUUUUUUUUAAAAAAAAUUGAAUAGAGAAAGCAAAAAAGUUUCAGAGAAGCAAAAAAAGCAAAAAACCAAAGGUGAUUGCAGUGUUCCUUUUUGUCUCUGGUUUAUUCUUUUCUAUUUAUUUAUUCAGCAAUUAUGGAAAAAAAAAAGGGGGAGGAAUAAGAGAGGAGAAGGAAAACUUACCAUCGGGGGGCACCAAUGAAGCCCUCCCUCCGAGCAAAACGGAGUUUACGGGCAGAGGUAAAGGUGAAGCGGCAGAAAAAGGGAAGCUAGAGGCUGUGCUCUCCGUUCUUCUGCGAGUUUGAGAGGAAUUUUACCUUUGCUCGCCGUUGGAGCCAUCUUCUACUCUGUCCGAAUCGGAAUGAGAGAGGAGAGCCCAGGCUUUCAAGGCGGCGGAGAAGGGAGGGGCAUCGUUUAGGGUUUAUUCCCUUGUUGUUGUUGUUUUUUUUCUGACUGAAUGAACCUUGUUUAGGGUUUAUUUAUUUAUUUAUAUCAUUCAUCCAAGCGGCACCGUUUUGUUGGCUAUCGACCCGCGUGGUGACCCGAUCCAGGGAAAGAUCCGCGCACUUUGGUCGUUUGGUCUAUUUGCGCAUACGGUCCCCUUGGUUUUAUAAUUUAUCUCUAAAUCAUUUUAUCUAUUUCACCUUAUUUUAUUUUA
Gossypium raimondii (Peruvian cotton) is the source of this 1212-nucleotide long non-coding RNA. RefSeq lists it as uncharacterized. The transcript is spliced from 2 exons. NCBI's taxonomy places the organism in Eukaryota, Viridiplantae, Streptophyta, Magnoliopsida, Malvales, Malvaceae. The record is from RefSeq and is a predicted model, not a curated record.